GGCGACGUAGCUCAGUGGCCAGAGCAGGGGUUUCAUAAGCCCUGUGUCCUGGGUUCGAAUCCCAGCGUCGCCA
This 73-nucleotide transfer RNA is filed under the name Pseudomonadota bacterium. RNAcentral describes it as "tRNA-Met". It matches the Rfam family "tRNA". Rfam says of the family: Transfer RNA (tRNA) molecules are approximately 80 nucleotides in length. Their secondary structure includes four short double-helical elements and three loops (D, anti-codon, and T loops). RNAcentral also lists the same sequence under 1 other name. The record is from RNAcentral. Lineage: Bacteria; Pseudomonadati; Pseudomonadota.